Drosophila montana is the source of this 637-nucleotide long non-coding RNA. RefSeq lists it as uncharacterized. Lineage: Eukaryota; Metazoa; Arthropoda; Insecta; Diptera; Drosophilidae. The transcript is spliced from 2 exons. The record is from RefSeq and is a predicted model, not a curated record.
CGGAACUACUUGAAAUAUUUCUUAAUUCUAUAACACAUUUUUAACGGUAGACACUGUUCGGUGUGUUGUAAAACGCUUUUUGUUCUCUGUGAUUUUCCCUUUUCUGUGUUGAAAACAAGUUUUUGAGUAUAUUUUUAUUUAUUCAUGCAGUUUUGUGGGCUGCUGUGGCAUGAAAACAAACUUGGGCCAAGCCGUAACUGCAUAAAAUGUGGGCUGCUAAAACAUGGAAACUUAUUUUAAAUACGAAAAGAACUCAAGGUUGAAGUCAGGCAGAACUCAUUUCAAAUAAGUUUUCAUCGUUUUGCCCCAAUCAAGAGCUGCUCUUAUGACGCACAAGAGAAAUGUUUGCUCUGCCAACUGAUGCGCAAAUAGGAAACGGAACGCCCACUCAUCGUCGGACAGUCGGAUAGAUGGACGGCCAACAUGGACAUGGACAUGGACACGGACAUGAACAUGACUUGAACAUUAACAUGGUCACGAGGACACAGACAUUGUCAUUUACCCAACCACACAAGAUGUGCUUUUGCGUCGUUGACAAGGUAAAGGCUAGCACUGGAAGGACCGAAAAGGUCAGAGGUUGUGCGCAAUCAGGGCACCAACAAUAUUAGGCAAAUAUAAUAAACUAGAUAAAUUUUAA